GGAUAGCUCAGUUGAUUAGAGUGUGGAACACUAAGGUUGCAGGUUCGAUCCCUGUAUGGGACA
Molecule: transfer RNA, 63 nt
Filed under: Podarcis lilfordi (Lilford's wall lizard)
Lineage: Eukaryota; Metazoa; Chordata; Lepidosauria; Squamata; Lacertidae
Description: tRNA.Undet
Source: RNAcentral